Molecule: long non-coding RNA, 741 nt
Filed under: Rattus norvegicus (Norway rat)
Lineage: Eukaryota; Metazoa; Chordata; Mammalia; Rodentia; Muridae
Description: long non-coding RNA NONRATT026965
Source: RNAcentral
CGCCCGGCCGCCGCGCCCUCGGGCCUCUGAGUGGCUGCCCCUCAGCGUUGGCUUGCGCCGAGCGUGGGAUGCUGAGUUCCUGCGGACCCAUAGUGUUAGAUGUCUGUUAGAGCCCAAGCAACUACUGCAUGAGGAUUCCAUUCACAAGCAUGGACGAAAGCGGCGCCAGCAUGAACUAGGAAGGGCAACGUAAAAUAACCAAUCCCUGCAUAGAGAUCCACCAGCACUUCUCCAGCACAGGAGAGUGAGGCCACUCGAAGUUUCUCAGUGAUGUUUCCGAAGGAGAACAUGCACUGUGUCACAUCAAACUUAUACCGGAUGCCAUUAUCUACAUGCUCUACCCAGCCAUGGUCACCGAGCAGCAGAGUCACUGUCGGAGUUCGAGUACCAUCAGGUAGCACCCGCCCUCGUUUUGCCAAACGCUGAACUCCAAGGGCUGAGGCAACAGUCUCCCAGAGUUCUGGUUCCAGCCUUUUCCACUGCGUGGCUUGGAAACAGUCUUCACUAAGCAGCAUUAGGUCACCAUGCCGUUGCCAAGACCGGGGCAAAUCUGCCUCCAAUUCAGUGGACCACGUCACUCCGCGGUCCUCUACCCAACGCCUCACCUCAAGACACAGUCUUUGGGCAGGUGAACAAACCCGGGCCUUUUUAGAAGGAAGAGGAUCCAGGAGCUGCGUCAGCUUACAGGUGCUGCCGGGGGCCACGCGAUUCUUCAGCUCCUGCAGAUGAUGUUCAGACAGG